This is a non-coding RNA of Salvia hispanica, 454 nucleotides long. The record is from RefSeq and is a predicted model, not a curated record. NCBI's taxonomy places the organism in Eukaryota, Viridiplantae, Streptophyta, Magnoliopsida, Lamiales, Lamiaceae.
GAUCACUAUCCUUCAAUAUUAGAGUUGAUUUCAAUAUCAUUUUUGUGGGUCCCUGAUAUAACCCUGGCACAUUCUCAUGUUUCUCAGAUGCUAUGACAUGUCUAGGGAUCUAUUAAUUGUUUUCAACUUAUGGGUUGGAAAUCCAAGCUUCUUGUGCUCUAAGGUCUUUUGAAAUGAAGUACUUUCUGACUUCUGAGCUGUUGUUAGGCCCCAGUUGUCUUUGAAUAAUGGCCCCUCCAGAUGCAACCCAUUCUGAUAUAGCUUUCUUUCAUUUCCCUGUGGGCAUAGAGAUGGAGCCAUGGAGGGGUAGUGUCUGUGACUGUGAGUGGUUCUCAUUCAACACCUUCUAGUCUGUUUAAUGAGACGAGGACCACACCUCGAUCAUAUCAAGUUGUAUUAUAGCUAUGUAUCAUGCGUGAUAUCUUCUCGGUCGUCAAGGGUAUUUUUGUCAUUU